Molecule: long non-coding RNA, 1156 nt
Organism: Gopherus evgoodei (Goodes thornscrub tortoise)
Lineage: Eukaryota; Metazoa; Chordata; Testudines; Testudinidae
Exons: 6
Source: RefSeq, a predicted model, not a curated record
CCCCUCUCUGAGGAUGCGGCGGUGCGCACGUAAGGCGCCCCGGGGCGGGGCCGAGGCCGAGGCCGGCGAGCUGUCGUGGCAAGGGAGAUUGAGCUGCAAGAAUGAAUAAGAAGGUUAAGGGACUUGCAUAAGAUCACACAGCAAGUCAAUUUUAGAGCUGGAAACAGUAGCCAUAUCUCAACUUCCAGAUAAUAAAUUUGAGACCUCCGAAGCAUGCUCAUAGAGAAGAUCACUUGGACAGCAGUCAUUCCUGUCCCACAACCAAAGGAAGCCAGAAGGCAGAAGAUUCUGGAAGCAAACUGCUAGCUAGACAGUAUCCAGCAAAAACAGAAGUGACCCUCCGGAGUGCGGAUAAAACCUUAAAAAGAGUUGAAUGCUGCGUGGAGAAAAGCCAGCAUUUAAACUUUUAUCUAUGCAAGCACAUUAAGAAAGAGAGUUAUUCCUACUGAUCCACUGGAAAAGAGUUGAAUAAAGUUAUAACAGAACAUGCCAGUUGAAAAUUCCAUUUUAACACAGCGGUGCUCUCAAGCAUGAAGAAGUUUAACAGAAGGCCUAUUCAGAAAAUGUUUCAGUCACAAGAAUGAAUGUCCAGUGAGCAAGUAUCGUGCAUGAAGCUAAACCAGAGAGGAAAAGUGCUUUGCUUACGUUAAGCCACAUGAACAUAUGAAGUAACUCAAUGUCUUGUUAUACAGAGCUCUAAAAGAAAAAACCAUGCAAGCACUUUUUGUGAUGGGCCUUAGUAUUCCAGCUGUGCGGACCUCACUGCAUCACUCUGGAAUAGGUAUUUUUCCUAAGCUGUGUAAAAACACUCAAUUGGGCAACAUGAACAGAGGGUGUCAACUCCAAAGGGACUGGCUUUCAACAUACACAGAAAAGCUACGCUUCAGCUUCCUAGAUCAAUAAGAUGGCAGCUGGAAGAACUUGCACAGCCUCUGAGCCUCCCGAGAAACAAAACUGGCAUCUCAUAUUGCACAAUUUCAACAGUACUCAACUCAGAAAAGUGGGAGUGGCGUGUGUCCAGACCUGUACACAGCACGAGGAUUUCAGUGUGACUGAAGGUUUGAAAGAAUCUUCAUGCUACUGUGCAUUAAUAUUUAGCAUUAAAGAUUAGUUAUGAAUCAUGGUCUUACAAGAAAUCUGAUGUAUAUGUAUAAAC